This is an unclassified non-coding RNA of Papio anubis (olive baboon), 323 nucleotides long. It matches the Rfam family "Metazoan signal recognition particle RNA". From Rfam's summary of the family: The signal recognition particle (SRP) is a universally conserved ribonucleoprotein. It is involved in the co-translational targeting of proteins to membranes. NCBI's taxonomy places the organism in Eukaryota, Metazoa, Chordata, Mammalia, Primates, Cercopithecidae. The record is from Ensembl.
GCUGGGCAUGGUGGCGCAUGCCUGUAAUCCCAGCUACUUGGGAGGCUGAGGCAGGAGAAUCGCUUGAACUCAGGAGGCAGAGGUUGCAGUGAGCUGAGAUUGAGCCAUUGCACUCCAGCGGGGGAGACAUGAGUGAAACUCCAUCUCAAAAAAAAAAAAAGACUAUCAAGAUGGAUGUAAUUAUUUAUGUAUGUAUGUUUAUAUGUAUGUAUGUAUUUAUUUGAGAUGGAGUCACACUCUCUUGCCCAGGCUGGAGUGCAGUAGUGCAAACUCUGCUCACUGCAGCCUCUGCCUCUUGAGUUCAAGCGAUUCUCCUGCCUCAG